UCUUUUUUUCCGAUUGCCUCAUUUUUUAGUCAAAACAUUUAGGGCUCAGAUUUUGCUGUAUAUGAAUAUGCAAAGAGAAAGCAACACAUGCCAUGGCUGCAAGACACAGCUUUGCAUAUGGAUGCCAUACCAUGUCGCCACGCCAAAGAUACGGAUUGGAUUUUCUCAACGCAAUAAAGUAGAUUAUAGUUCAGAAAGAAGUUACCCAUCAUCACAGCCCAUUUUUUUUCAGUUUUUGCACGGAUUGGAUUUUCUCAACGCAAUAAAGUAGAUUAUAGUUCAGAAAGAAGUUACCCAUCAUCACAGCCCAUUUUUUUUCAGUUUUUGC
Molecule: unclassified non-coding RNA, 328 nt
Filed under: Hevea brasiliensis (rubber tree)
Lineage: Eukaryota; Viridiplantae; Streptophyta; Magnoliopsida; Malpighiales; Euphorbiaceae
Source: RNAcentral